This 2905-nucleotide ribosomal RNA is filed under the name Salmonella enterica. RNAcentral describes it as "23S ribosomal RNA". It matches the Rfam family "Bacterial large subunit ribosomal RNA". The record is from RNAcentral. Lineage: Bacteria; Pseudomonadati; Pseudomonadota; Gammaproteobacteria; Enterobacterales; Enterobacteriaceae. RNAcentral also lists the same sequence under 3 other names.
GGUUAAGCGACUAAGCGUACACGGUGGAUGCCCUGGCAGUCAGAGGCGAUGAAGGACGUGCUAAUCUGCGAUAAGCGCCGGUAAGGUGAUAUGAACCGUUAUAACCGGCGAUUUCCGAAUGGGGAAACCCAGUGUGACUCGUCACACUAUCAUUAACUGAAUCCAUAGGUUAAUGAGGCGAACCGGGGGAACUGAAACAUCUAAGUACCCCGAGGAAAAGAAAUCAACCGAGAUUCCCCCAGUAGCGGCGAGCGAACGGGGAGGAGCCCAGAGCCUGAAUCAGCAUGUGUGUUAGUGGAAGCGUCUGGAAAGGCGCGCGAUACAGGGUGACAGCCCCGUACACAAAAGCGCAUGUGCUGUGAGCUCGAUGAGUAGGGCGGGACACGUGGUAUCCUGUCUGAAUAUGGGGGGACCAUCCUCCAAGGCUAAAUACUCCUGACUGACCGAUAGUGAACCAGUACCGUGAGGGAAAGGCGAAAAGAACCCCGGCGAGGGGAGUGAAAAAGAACCUGAAACCGUGUACGUACAAACAGUGGGAGCACCCUUCGGGGUGUGACUGCGUACCUUUUGUAUAAUGGGUCAGCGACUUAUAUUCUGUAGCAAGGUUAACCGAAUAGGGGAGCCGGAGGGAAACCGAGUCUUAAUUGGGCGUUAAGUUGCAGGGUAUAGACCCGAAACCCGGUGAUCUAGCCAUGGGCAGGUUGAAGGUUGGGUAACACUAACUGGAGGACCGAACCGACUAAUGUUGAAAAAUUAGCGGAUGACCUGUGGCUGGGGGUGAAAGGCCAAUCAAACCGGGAGAUAGCUGGUUCUCCCCGAAAGCUAUUUAGGUAGCGCCUCGUGAAUUCAUCUCCGGGGGUAGAGCACUGUUUCGGCUAGGGGGCCAUCCCGGCUUACCAACCCGAUGCAAACUGCGAAUACCGGAGAAUGUUAUCACGGGAGACACACGGCGGGUGCUAACGUCCGUCGUGAAGAGGGAAACAACCCAGACCGCCAGCUAAGGUCCCAAAGUCAUGGUUAAGUGGGAAACGAUGUGGGAAGGCCCAGACAGCCAGGAUGUUGGCUUAGAAGCAGCCAUCAUUUAAAGAAAGCGUAAUAGCUCACUGGUCGAGUCGGCCUGCGCGGAAGAUGUAACGGGGCUAAACCAUGCACCGAAGCUGCGGCAGCGACACUGUGUGUUGUUGGGUAGGGGAGCGUUCUGUAAGCCUGCGAAGGUGGCCUGUGAGGGUUGCUGGAGGUAUCAGAAGUGCGAAUGCUGACAUAAGUAACGAUAAAGCGGGUGAAAAGCCCGCUCGCCGGAAGACCAAGGGUUCCUGUCCAACGUUAAUCGGGGCAGGGUGAGUCGACCCCUAAGGCGAGGCCGAAAGGCGUAGUCGAUGGGAAACGGGUUAAUAUUCCCGUACUUGGUGUUACUGCGAAGGGGGGACGGAGAAGGCUAUGUUGGCCGGGCGACGGUUGUCCCGGUUUAAGCGUGUAGGUGUGUGUUCCAGGUAAAUCCGGUUCACUUUAACACUGAGGCGUGACGACGAGGCACUACGGUGCUGAAGCAACAAAUGCCCUGCUUCCAGGAAAAGCCUCUAAGCAUCAGGUAACAUCAAAUCGUACCCCAAACCGACACAGGUGGUCAGGUAGAGAAUACCAAGGCGCUUGAGAGAACUCGGGUGAAGGAACUAGGCAAAAUGGUGCCGUAACUUCGGGAGAAGGCACGCUGACAUGUAGGUGAAGUGAUUUACUCAUGGAGCUGAAGUCAGUCGAAGAUACCAGCUGGCUGCAACUGUUUAUUAAAAACACAGCACUGUGCAAACACGAAAGUGGACGUAUACGGUGUGACGCCUGCCCGGUGCCGGAAGGUUAAUUGAUGGGGUCAGCGCAAGCGAAGCUCCUGAUCGAAGCCCCGGUAAACGGCGGCCGUAACUAUAACGGUCCUAAGGUAGCGAAAUUCCUUGUCGGGUAAGUUCCGACCUGCACGAAUGGCGUAAUGAUGGCCAGGCUGUCUCCACCCGAGACUCAGUGAAAUUGAACUCGCUGUGAAGAUGCAGUGUACCCGCGGCAAGACGGAAAGACCCCGUGAACCUUUACUAUAGCUUGACACUGAACAUUGAGCCUUGAUGUGUAGGAUAGGUGGGAGGCUUUGAAGCGUGGACGCCAGUCUGCAUGGAGCCGACCUUGAAAUACCACCCUUUAAUGUUUGAUGUUCUAACGUGGACCCGUAAUCCGGGUUGCGGACAGUGUCUGGUGGGUAGUUUGACUGGGGCGGUCUCCUCCUAAAGAGUAACGGAGGAGCACGAAGGUUGGCUAAUCCUGGUCGGACAUCAGGAGGUUAGUGCAAUGGCAUAAGCCAGCUUGACUGCGAGCGUGACGGCGCGAGCAGGUGCGAAAGCAGGUCAUAGUGAUCCGGUGGUUCUGAAUGGAAGGGCCAUCGCUCAACGGAUAAAAGGUACUCCGGGGAUAACAGGCUGAUACCGCCCAAGAGUUCAUAUCGACGGCGGUGUUUGGCACCUCGAUGUCGGCUCAUCACAUCCUGGGGCUGAAGUAGGUCCCAAGGGUAUGGCUGUUCGCCAUUUAAAGUGGUACGCGAGCUGGGUUUAGAACGUCGUGAGACAGUUCGGUCCCUAUCUGCCGUGGGCGCUGGAGAACUGAGGGGGGCUGCUCCUAGUACGAGAGGACCGGAGUGGACGCAUCACUGGUGUUCGGGUUGUCAUGCCAAUGGCACUGCCCGGUAGCUAAAUGCGGAAGAGAUAAGUGCUGAAAGCAUCUAAGCACGAAACUUGCCCCGAGAUGAGUUCUCCCUGAGACUUAGAGUCUCCUGAAGGAACGUUGAAGACGACGACGUUGAUAGGCCGGGUGUGUAAGCGCAGCGAUGCGUUGAGCUAACCGGUACUAAUGAACCGUGAGGCUUAACCUU